Molecule: ribosomal RNA, 507 nt
Filed under: uncultured bacterium
Lineage: Bacteria
Description: bacterial SSU rRNA
Rfam family: Bacterial small subunit ribosomal RNA
Source: RNAcentral
AACGAACGCUGGCGGCGUGGAUAAGACAUGCAAGUCGAGCGGAAUAUUUCGGGUAGCAAUAUUCGGAAUGUUCAGCGGCGCAAGGGUGCGUAACACGUGGGUAAUCUACCUUGAAGCCCGGAAUAACUCCGAGAAAUCGGAGCUAAUACCGGAUGUGAUAUUUGGAUGGCAUCACCUGGAUAUCAAAGUUGGGGACCGUAAGGCCUGACACUUCUAGAUGAGCCCGCGGCCUAUCAGCUAGUUGGUGAGGUAAUGGCUCACCAAGGCUAAGACGGGUAGCUGGUCUGAGAGGACGACCAGCCACACUGGAACUGAGACACGGUCCAGACACCUACGGGUGGCAGCAGUCGAGAAUUUUUCACAAUGGGCGCAAGCCUGAUGGAGCGACGCCGCGUGGGGGAUGAAUGGCUUCGGCCCGUAAACCCCUGUCAUUUGCGAACAAACCUUUCGGCUUAAUACGUCGAGAGCUGAUUGUAGCGGAAGAGGAAGGGACGGCUAACUCUGUGC